GUUGAAUUGUGAAAACAAACCUCACUCGCCUUGUUUAGUUUCAAUUUUUUUUUCUUUCGUUUGUAUUUAAUAAAUAUUAUCCAAUUAUGGACUAAAUAGAUUUAAAAGAUUCGUCUCACAAAUUACAGGUAAACUAUGCAAUUAAUUUUUUUUAUCUAUAUUUAAUGCUCCAUGCAUGUGCCACAAGAUUCGAUGUGAUGGGGAAUCUGAAAAAAUUUUGUAAAAUUUUUUGGAACUAAACAAGACCUAAUUAUUACUAGUAGAGUUGUAGACCGAACGGACUGCAAUCUACUCCUUCCAUCUUUCUUUUUUUAUAAGUCAUUCUAAAAAUCUUAAAAAAUCAAAGUAUUUCAAAUUUAAUCAAAAUUAUAGAAAUAAUUAUAAAAAUUUAUGAUAUUAAAUAGAUAUAAUAUAAAAAUAUAAUUAAUAAUACUUAGUUAUUAUCAUAAAAUAUCAUUA
This 459-nucleotide long non-coding RNA is filed under the name Sorghum bicolor (sorghum). Its description in RNAcentral is "long non-coding RNA (SBIC_LNC002024)". The record is from RNAcentral. Lineage: Eukaryota; Viridiplantae; Streptophyta; Magnoliopsida; Poales; Poaceae.